RNAcentral lists this ribosomal RNA (358 nucleotides) under uncultured eukaryote. RNAcentral's name for it is "SSU rRNA". It matches the Rfam family "Eukaryotic small subunit ribosomal RNA", at positions 592 to 947 of the family's 1831-position model. The record is from RNAcentral.
CAAUAGCGUAUAUUAAAGUUGUUGCGGUUAAAAAGACUCGUAGUUGGAUUUCUGCCGAGGACGACUGGUCCGCCCUCUGGGUGAGCAUCUAGUUCGGCCUGGGCAUCUUCUUGGAAGAACGUAGCUGCACUUGACUGUGUGGUGCGGUAUCCAGGAACUUUUACCUUGAGGAAAUUAGAGUGUUUCAAGCAGGCACACGCCUUGAAUACAUUAGCAUGGAAUAAUAAGAUAGGACCUCGGUUCUAUUUUGUUGGUUUCUAGAGCUGAGGUAAUGGAUUAAUUAGGGAUAGUUGGGGGCAUUCGUAUUUAAACUGUCAGAGGUGAAAAUUCUUGGAUUUGUUAAAGACGGACUACUGCG